Centrocercus urophasianus (Greater sage-grouse) is the source of this 1868-nucleotide long non-coding RNA. RefSeq lists it as uncharacterized. Lineage: Eukaryota; Metazoa; Chordata; Aves; Galliformes; Phasianidae. The transcript is spliced from 3 exons. The record is from RefSeq and is a predicted model, not a curated record.
UGUUUAGGACCUGCCAAAGCCCAUGCUUCGCAGUGUCAAUAAUACUCAAACUUCACAUGUCUCUUAAAACCAAAAAGUGAAAAUAUGAAGAGUGUCUACAUGUUGGAGUGGAAAGAUUGCUUCAGCUGCUGGCUUACAGAGUUGUGGUUGAGCAAGAUAAGGAAAGGAAUGACGUUUCCACGGAAGGAAGAGUUGGUUGGUUGGUUGUUUUUUUUUUUUUGUUUUGUUUUUUGUGGUACAAGAGGGCUUGUACAUGGCUUUUACUCUACUUAAUUCAAAACCAGGGAAUAUCUGGUUGCAUACCUUGUGGUACCUCAAAGUCAAAGUCCUGUUAAAUCCCAGAUACUUUGGCAUCCCUGUAUUCCUAUUCCUAUUGCACACAGGAUGACUGCAUUCUUCCUUCCCUUCGCUAUUCAAAGGAUCCACCUUUUCUACUUUCCCACUUUUGCCAGUGUUUUUGCAUUGCCAUAUCUCUGGGUACAAUUUAUCCUCCAAGGGAUUCUGUAUCCUUCAUUUCAUUUUCUCUGUACCAUGUCCACCAGGAUUCCUUUCUCUCAUCCUUCUCCCUUUCUCCAUCAUGGACUGAAUUAAACACUUUGGAUUUACACUCAGAAGAGCUGAGAUCUUCAGGCUGUUGGAAGAUUUUAUCAACCUGUAUUUUGAGAGUGCCACAGAACCCUGCUUGGCUCCCAUCCGUGCCUCCUGAACUUGCAGAGUGCCCAGCACAACAGCCUUAAGAAAGAAAGAGGAAGAAGAAAUUAUAAGAAAAGAGAAGAAGAGGGGAAAAUAUGUGGCAUCCAUUGGUUUCAUACUGAUUAAGAGUCCUUGCUGGAGAUCCCCCAGCCCAGCACUUCCCUUCCUCACAUCGGGCCCGGCCCACUGAAAGUGCUGCCUGAGUGACUACCCAAAUGGCAUCUGCCUGCCUGAGUUGGCUCCCACUGUGGUCCUCACACCAUCAACUUGGACAGCUGCAGCAGCAGGAGUGGGAAUGUUCCCCCAUUCCUAGGAUGGUUCAGGUGCCCUGAAAGUGCGUGUUUAAUGGGAGCCGUCAUGAAGGUUGUUGGAGAGACACGUGGAAAUAGCAACCAGCAUGGUGCCCUAUGAGCUGGCUCAUUAAAGACACUAAUAACGAUGUGCAGCAUUCCUCUGCCUUGAGAUCACCACCCCAGAGUAAUCAGGAUGAUGCCAGAACUGUGCAACACCUUCCAACGCUGUCAUUAAAAGCCAAAUCUUCGCCUCAGAAAAGUCAGUGCCAAAACCCCAUUCAGUCUUCUGCUGCCUUUUGGCCAUCUUCUGCCAGCCCAGACAUUGGGCACACACCAGGGGAUGGGGACAUUAGCCUAUGGGUGGAUGGGAGCCAGGAUUAGGCCUGCAUCUCCUGAACAGUGGAGUAACAUCACAGAAUCACAGAAUUGUAGGGGUUGGAAGGGACCUCCAGAGAUCAUCGAGUCCAACCCCCUUGGAUCAUCCUUGGAGAGCCCGUCAGAAGCACCGCUGUGGCGAGUGUGUGACCUGGGCACAGCCUAGACUGACCUGGACAAAGAGGUGAGCUGGGCUUGGUGCUGCCUGGUGGCUGGAAGGAGUCUCAGCAGAAAAGCUGGGCUGGGGAGGAGUUCCCAGCUCAAACGAGGCCCUUCCCAAUGGCUGUUUCCAGGGGAAAUUGUUUCUCUGAGAGAUUGUGGCACACGUUUUGGUGAGGAUGACGAAUUGCCGUCACUCCCCUGUGUAACGCUACAGUGCAAUGGAAAGUGCAGCAGUAACAGCAGGGUGGCAAAGUCCUAGGCUGCAACAAGCGAGGAUUUGCCCAGGUGCAGCAGCUGGGGACACAGAAAGCAAGGAAAAAAGCUGCUGAGCCUUGGAAGGCCUCA